This is a long non-coding RNA of Salvia splendens (bonfire salvia), 2364 nucleotides long. RefSeq lists it as uncharacterized. The record is from RefSeq and is a predicted model, not a curated record. The transcript is spliced from 3 exons. Lineage: Eukaryota; Viridiplantae; Streptophyta; Magnoliopsida; Lamiales; Lamiaceae.
UUAUAAUUAUGGCUUGAUCCUUGCAGAGGCUUUAAUGAUGCUAUUAACGGAUUCAAUGAUGACGGGUGGUCAAUAUUAAAUUGUGAUGGUGCUGACGAUGUAGUAGUUGCCAUUAAUUCAGCCAAGAAUCUAACUGCUGCAACUCUUCUCUGUGUAAAAGCAUCUAUGCUGCUUCAGGUUCCCUUGUUUUUUUAUCCCCUGGAAUUAUGCUGAUUUGCUUUUUGAGGGAGCAUCGAUCAGAGUGGGCGGACUUCAAUGUUGAUGCCUAUGCUGCCAUGUCAUUGAAGUCACGUACAUGCUCAUAUCCUAAAGUGAGGCCGACGAGAUUCACCGGAACCCAAAUAAUCAUGCCUUUGGGUCAAACGAUUGAACAUGAAGAGGUACAUGUCUUCUUUUUUUUUGUAAGUUUUAUGCUAUCCAGCAUCAGAUGGCUUCGUUUUAAACAUGAUUUUGCAUAGAAGAUCAAUUCCCAAUUUGUGGAUCUGAAUCUUGUGAAACAUUUCCAAGUAAUAAAUACACUGUCAAGCAUUAUUGUAUCUACCCGAACUUUGUACUAAUUUUCCCUUUUUUUGUUCCCCAGUAAUAUUUUCAUGAAGAAUUGUAAUGAAAGAGCUUGAUGAAUAUUUUAUUUGCUUAGUCAUCUGAAUAUUUUCCCUUUGGGUCAAACGAUUGAACAUGAAGAGGUACAUGUCUUCUUUUUUUUUGUAAGUUUUAUGCUAUCCAGCAUCAGAUGGCUUCGUUUUAAACAUGAUUUUGCAUAGAAGAUCAAUUCCCAAUUUGUGGAUCUGAAUCUUGUGAAACAUUUCCAAGUAAUAAAUACACUGUCAAGCAUUAUUGUAUCUACCCGAACUUUGUACUAAUUUUCCCUUUUUUUGUUCCCCAGUAAUAUUUUCAUGAAGAAUUGUAAUGAAAGAGCUUGAUGAAUAUUUUAUUUGCUUAGUCAUCUGAAUAUUUUCCCUUUGGGUCAAACGAUUGAACAUGAAGAGGUACAUGUCUUCUUUUUUUUUGUAAGUUUUAUGCUAUCCAGCAUCAGAUGGCUUCGUUUUAAACAUGAUUUUGCAUAGAAGAUCAAUUCCCAAUUUGUGGAUCUGAAUCUUGUGAAACAUUUCCAAGUAAUAAAUACACUGUCAAGCAUUAUUGUAUCUACCCGAACUUUGUACUAAUUUUCCCUUUUUUUGUUCCCCAGUAAUAUUUUCAUGAAGAAUUGUAAUGAAAGAGCUUGAUGAAUAUUUUAUUUGCUUAGUCAUCUGAAUAUGAUGUGUAUUCACCUCAUAUUCUCAUAAUUGUUUUGGUUCUUCGGUAUCCCUGAUGCUUGAAGUUGUUCGUUUGGAAGGCCACUCGCUUACUCACGAGGAUGCUUUUUCAUCCAGGGACGUUCAUCUUGCUCAUAUAAAUGGAUCUCGACUUAUCCCCAGAAUAUGUGAUUUGAAAAUUUUGAAUGCAUCUUUAUGUCACAGAUGUGCAGUGGGGUUGAUGAGAAUUCUGUGGGAGCCUGCUCGGAGCUUAUUUUUGCACCCAUUGACGAGCUGUUUCCAGAUGAUGCACCGCUGCUGCCUUCUGGUUUCCGCAUAAUCCCACUUGAUUCAAAAUCAGGCGACUCACUUGAUUUAUUGGCCUCACACAAGACAUUAGAUUUGACAUCGAGCCUCGAAGUUGGCCCAACAGCCAGCCAUGGUGCAGAAAAUGCAGUGUCAUCUUACAAUGCACGAUCAGUGUUGACUAUUGCUUUCCAGUUCCAGUUCCAGUUCCAGUUCCAGUUCGAGAGCAAUUCACACGACAAUGGCUCGUCAGUAUGUCCGUAGCGUGAUCUCCUCGGUACAGAGGGUUGCCACAGCCAUUUCUCCGUCGGGGUUGAGCCCAACAGCUGGGCCAAAGGUGUCUCUGGUCUCUCCUGAAGCUCAAACGCUCACACAUUGGAUAUGCCAGAGCUGUAGGUACUGCUAAUAUAGAAUUCCACACCAUCACCACAUUAGGUUCGGGAACACCAAAAUGGAUUGAUUACAUGGAACGGGAGAAACGAAGAAGAGAAAUACUAAUACAGUACUUGAACACAAAAAUUGUCUGUAAUCAAAGGAUAUUGUUACUUUCAUCCCGAUGCCACUGACCAAAAAUCCAACUGAGGAAGGCCAUAGCUGUAGCAGUUUCAAAUUCUGUGCAAUGAUUCCACAGGAGCCCAGAUCUUUCCCAAUCAGAACAGUAAUGCCUGCUGAUGCACAGGCUGCAGCAAAAGUUAAAUUAGAAGAAAGUGGUUUUAAUUUAAUAAACACAAUUCUGCUUCUUAGUUCAUAAACCAACAAUGCGUUUUUGUGAAGUGGUGUACUGCAGUAAAAUUGAACAUGGCACAGAGAGCCAAUGUUACGAGAA